Molecule: long non-coding RNA, 1071 nt
Organism: Musa acuminata AAA Group (dessert banana)
Lineage: Eukaryota; Viridiplantae; Streptophyta; Magnoliopsida; Zingiberales; Musaceae
Exons: 3
Source: RefSeq, a predicted model, not a curated record
CCUAAGUGUUUGUCUUAGGUUUAAAUCCACACUUAGUUGAAUAGUUUGGGCUUAUAGUUUGAGUUUUUCUUGUUUAAUAGAUUCGGGUGUUUUAUGGCCUAGGAACAUCUUCCUCAGGCAUUUAUAUUAGUUCCUCUUUUAUAGUAGUGAUUUGUUUCUCCUUCGUCCGUGGAUAUAUAUCAAUUAGCCGAACCACAUAAAUCUGGUGUUCUUAUCGUUUUUAUUUUUUUCGCUUUAUUGUCUUUGUUGGAUUAUCAAAAUUAUCAUUUAAAUUUUUUGGGACUAGCUCUAAUGUUAGUAAAUUGCGUAGAGAAGAUCUCGGUUGGGGAUGGGAAUAUCGUGAAGAUGACAGGAAUAAAGGACAUGCUCUAUGUGUUAUCAGAAAUUGAGAUGUGAAGGCAACUUGGUGCUUGGGCAAAAGAACUUCAAGGAAUGAAAAGUUACUGCAUAAAGGAGUUUGCAGAAGCUUUGGAGGCAUGCCCAGGGUGAGACUAAUGCUGGUAUCAACGUGAGGAAGGGUCUGAUCACCAACAUAUUGGGGGAAAAUGUGGUGCAGCCACUGCUGGUUAUCACAAGUGCAAUUACACUCGCCACCAAGUGUGUGAGGAUGGUCUUAAAGAUCGACGGCAUUAUGACUGUGAGGUAGAUUGGAGCAUAUGUCAACAGGCAACAAGCUUGGGACUUGUAUGAUUUCGUUGUACUUUUGAUGCUUCUCUAAUCUACAAGAUCGAUGACAUUAUCACUGUGAGGCAGAUCGGAGCAUAUGCCAACGGGCAACAAGCUUGGAACUUGUUAGAUUUUGUUCUACCUUUGAUGCUUCUCAAAUCUACCAGAGCUGCAACGCAAGCAAGGGCCACUCCUUUUUGAGUCUUUGUUACCAGUUUAAGAGUCGUAGCGAUUACAGUCUUAAUUUGUUUAUAAGUAUGUUUGUUGUUAAGAGUAUCUAUCGUGGUUUUUGCCUUGACUUGCUGGCGACUCAGCCAUCAUGAAAUUGAAAUGAGUGAAUCCUUGUUAUUUGUUACUUGUUCACUUUGUUCAACCAGUGAGCUUCAUAUUAUUUGUUCAACCCGA